AGACUAGAGGAUGGUAGAGGGAGGUGGAAUUCCCGGUGUAGUGGUGAAAUGCGUAGACAUCGGGAGGAACACCAGUGGCGAAGGCGGCCUCCUGGGCCAUUCCUGACGCUCAGACGCGAAAGCUAGGGGAGCAAACGGGAUUAGAAACCCCGGUAGUCCUAGCCGUAAACGAUGUGGACUUGGCGUUGGUGGGGUAAAAGCCAUCAGUGCCGUAGCUAACGCGAUAAGUCCACCGCCUGGGGACUACGGCCGCAAGGCUAAAACUCAAAGGAAUUGACGGGGACCCGCACAAGCAGCGGAGCGUGUGGUUUAAUUCGAUUCUACGCGAAGAACCUUACCCGGGUUUGACAUACUGGUGGUAGGGAUCCGAAAGGUGACCGACCCUUUGGGGAGCCAGUACAGGUGCUGCAUGGCUGUCGUCAGCUCGUGCCGUGAGGUGUCCGGUUAAGUCCGGUAACGAGCGCAACCCUCGCCGCAUGUUAUACGUAUCAUACGGGACUGCCGGUAUAAAGCCGGAGGAAGGUGGGGAUGACGUCAGGUCAGCAUGGCCUUUAUGUCCGGGGCUACACACACGCUACAAUGGCCAGCACAAUGGGUUGCAAGACCGCGAGGUGGAGCCAAUCCCCAAAGCUGGUCUCAGUUCAGAUUGUAGGCUGCAACUCGCCUACAUGAAGCCGGAGUUGCUAGUAACCGCAGGACAGCUAUACUGCGGUGAAUACGUUCCCGGGUCUUGUACACACCGCCCGUCACGUCAUGGAAGCUGGCAACACCUGAAGUCGGUAUCCUAACCCGCAAGGGAGGGAACUGCCAAAGGUGGGGCUGGUAACUGGGACGAAGUCGUAACAAGGUAACC
RNAcentral lists this ribosomal RNA (853 nucleotides) under uncultured Chloroflexota bacterium. RNAcentral describes it as "bacterial SSU rRNA". It matches the Rfam family "Bacterial small subunit ribosomal RNA", at positions 638 to 1501 of the family's 1533-position model. The record is from RNAcentral. Lineage: Bacteria; Bacillati; Chloroflexota.